CCCCGUUUUCUUCUUCCUCUCCCCGAGCUGUCGCUCUCUCUUUCUCUCCUCUGCAACUCCGAUUGCUUUCUCUUUCCGGCCACCAAAAAGCGUGAAACCGGUGGCUACGGACUCGUCUCGACUUCCUCUUGGCGCUGGCGGUGGUGGCUCACGGCGGCUUGGCCAGAAAACGACGCAUCAAGCCUUAGAAGUUUACUGUAGCAGUUUGAGUCAACGCCGAUUUCUUCCUAUUCCGGCCACCUCCGACGACGAACCAUAAUCAUUUGGAAGCGGCUUGCGAUGUAGAUGAUGCUCCCCAAAUCUUUUGCAACGAUUUGCAGUGUAGAGGAAGAAUCGACGAUUGGAAGAUUACGGUCACUAUUCACAGUUUGAGUUCAAGCUUCUCCUUAAUUGUUGAGGGCAAUGUUGCGAGCUACGGCUAGAUGAAGGAACUCGUUUUCGUGGUCGCCAACUAGUACUUUUGCAGGCGAAUUAGUUGAGGUCGGGCGUACACGAAAUUGAGGCAUAGUCAGCAGCAUGGCUUCCGCAUCUGCCUUUGAAUUAGGUUUUCCUCAUAUACCUUUCUGUUAGAAUUGCUCUGAUUACCUAUGGGAUUUAUGUUAUUCAAGUUGAGAUAUGUGUUUUGUGAAUUGGAGAUUGAUGUUGAUUUGGGGAGCAGGGUGGCUCCAGGGGCAUAAGGAUGAUUCGAUUGAGAAGUGUAAAUGUUCCCUACAGGUUUGGGUUGCCCAUUUUAGGGGAAAUUCCGCCAAAUUUUUGGUAGAAUUUCUUCUAAGGUGGGCCCCGCAGGGUCACUUCGGAUUUCAGGGUGAAAUCCGGGGCGGGUCCUGUCAACGAGAAUCUUUCUAUAAAUUUUUUGGAGCAAACUUUGAUUGGAUUGGAAAGUGCACCAUUCAAACGGUGUAUGGGUUAAUCCUGCAGGUCAGGGAAAUCGUGGCUGAAGCUGAGGUAGCUUGUUGGCAGCAGAACAUGUAGAAAGCAAAUUUUGUUGGCUUUGCCAUUGUUAUGACUUCCGCUAUGUAGUAAGCUCUGAGGAGCAUUUACGUUUUAUUUUGUGAUGACAAUUUAAUUCGUAAGCAUAUACAACACUGUGGAGUGGGUUAAUAUUGACAUAGUGGGUUCAGGGCAUCAAUAUGUACUUGGUUUAAAAGGGAGUAAGGUUUCUAGGUAUUUUGUAUUGAUGGCUGAACGAUCACGCAUAUAUAAUUAUGAGAUUGUAUAUGGAUUUUUAUUUAUGUUAAAAAUCAGAGGCGUGACAAUGCAAAAUUCUCUAAAGGAGGGGUUUAAAUUAUUUAAUGAACAAUCCACUGAUCUUGGAGGUUUACGAGUGAAUUCUCCAACUAUUGCAGCAUCAAUGUUUCAUAACUAUUACAAGCAUCUAUUUGUCAGUCGUGUUUUUCAGAAUGUGGAUGAUUCCUGCGCGGUGUUAUAUAAGACGCUUCCCCAGAUCCCUACGUAUUUUUGGGAAUUUAUUAAAUUUCAGCAUAUGAAGUCUCCUUUUCCGUUGCUAGAUCUAAAGAUGUUGGUCAAGUUAAGGCAGGUGCAGUUCAUGGAUAUGGUCUUUGUUGAUUGCUCUGUAGAACCCAAACUGGGGGCCCCUAUUUAUGAUCUAUACGUUAAUGGACUUUCGAAAGAUAUGACAGAGCAAAUGCUCAUUGAUCAUUUCUCAAGGUUUGGAGGUGUUGUCCGUGCACUCAUCCCUCAAAAGCAGUUUUUGAAUAAAGUAGCCAAGUUGUUUUAUGGAUUUGUUGCCUAUCAUGAUAAAGACUGCCAUUUUAGCCAUACAGGCUACGCAUGAUAUGUGGUUAGAUCGGAGAAGGUUGUGGGUAAAACUAGUCAACCCUUAUCCACAUGGACUAGAAGUAGACCUAGCUUUCUGGAAUAACUAUUGUCCUCAACUUUUGGUGCAUGCUGUUCAGCAACGGUGUGUGAAACAACUUUGUGGCGCAGAUGGAGAGCUCCUCAAAAAAUUGAGAACUAUAUCUCCUGCUCUUAUUGAGCAUGUCUAUCGGCUUCACAUGGAUAAAUAUCCUGUGUUGGAGCCGAUAGACAGUGAAAUGGAGGUGAUCGUGACCGAACUGUUACGCCUGUUUGAAGGUUGUUAUCCUCUAAAUACUAUUUUUCUAUUUGGGGCACCGGUAAGUAUUGGAUAUUUUUAUUUGGGGUUUUAAAUUUUUUCGACCCAAUGAUCGAUCUUAUACCUGUUCAUCUUUUUAGGGAGUAGGAAAAUCCACUAUUUCUAAAGCUUUGGCCAUAGAGGCCAAAGCUGUGCUUUUUCAACUCUCCCCGUCUUCAAUUGUUUAAAGGUUGCUAAAUGCUCUCGGCCUCCUGUGGUCUUUUUAGAUGAAAUCGAAGCACUACUGCCAUAUGUAAUACUUGCUCUCUCUUUGUUAUACGGUUAAUAGUCUAUGGUGUCACUGUGUAUGCUUAAUACUAUUUCCACAGGUUAUCUUUAUCUUCAUUAUGAACACCGAUAGUAUCAUAAGCCCCUUGGGUAUCUUGAUUUCCUGAUGUAUCAUCUAUAUCGCCGUCCUCAUCCUCCCCUAUAUCAUCUCCAUCACCCGUUACAUGUGCAUUACCCAUUGAAAAAAGAUCGUUCAUCAUAUCAAGAAUACCUGUAUUGUGUUCAGAUGCAUCAACUGGGCUAUUCGGAAUAGUUUGACUCUGCACUUCAUUCUG
Molecule: long non-coding RNA, 2676 nt
Organism: Rosa rugosa (rugosa rose)
Lineage: Eukaryota; Viridiplantae; Streptophyta; Magnoliopsida; Rosales; Rosaceae
Exons: 9
Source: RefSeq, a predicted model, not a curated record